GGGGGAUAUUGCGCAAUGGGGGCAACCCUGACGCAGCAACGCCGCGUGAAGGAUGAAGGUUUUCGGAUUGUAAACUUCUUUUAUUAAGGACGAAAAAUGACGGUACUUAAUGAAUAAGCUCCGGCUAACUACGUGCCAGCAACCGCGGUAAUACGUAGGGAGCAAGCGUUGUCCGGAUUUACUGGGUGUAAAGGGUGCGUAGGCGGCUUUGCAAGUCAGAUGUGAAAUCUAUGGGCUCAACCCAUAAACUGCAUUUGAAACUGUAGAGCUUGAGUGAAGUAGAGGCAGGCGGAAUUCCCCGUGUAGCGGUGAAAUGCGUAGAGAUGGGGAGGAACACCAGUGGCGAAGGCGGCCUGCUGGGCUUUAACUGACGCUGAGGCACGAAAGCGUGGGUAGCAAACAGGAUUAGAUACCCUGGUAGUCCACGCUGUAAACGAUGAUUACUAGGUGUGGGGGGUCUGACCCCUUCCGUGCCGGAGUUAACACAAUAAGUAAUCCACCUGGGGAGUACAGCCGCAAGGUUGAAACUCAAAGGAAUUGACGGGGGCCCGCACAAGCAGUGGAGUAUGUGGUUUAAUUCGAAGCAACGCGAAGAACCUUACCAGGUCUUGACAUCCAACUAACGAAGUAGAGAUACAUUAGGUGCCCUUCGGGGAAAGUUGAGACAGGUGGUGCAUGGUUGUCGUCAGCUCGUGUCGUGAGAUGUUGGGUUAAGUCCCGCAACGAGCGCAACCCUUGCUAUUAGUUGCUACGCAAGAGCACUCUAAUAGGACUGCCGUUGACAAAACGGAGGAAGGUGGGGACGACGUCAAAUCAUCAUGCCCCUUAUGACCUGGGCUACACACGUACUACAAUGGAUGUUAACAGAGGGAAGCAAGACAGCGAUGUGGAGCAAACCCCUAAAAACAUUCUCAGUUCAGAUUGCAGGCUGCAACCCGCCUGCAUGAAGAUGGAAUUGCUAGUAAUCGCGGAUCAGCAUGCCGCGGUGAAUACGUUCCCG
Molecule: ribosomal RNA, 1000 nt
Filed under: uncultured organism
Description: bacterial SSU rRNA
Rfam family: Bacterial small subunit ribosomal RNA
Source: RNAcentral